This is a long non-coding RNA of Motacilla alba alba, 897 nucleotides long. RefSeq lists it as uncharacterized. NCBI's taxonomy places the organism in Eukaryota, Metazoa, Chordata, Aves, Passeriformes, Motacillidae. The record is from RefSeq and is a predicted model, not a curated record. The transcript is spliced from 3 exons.
GGGUUUGAGAUGUGGCUGGACUCAUUCAGAUCCCACCGUGACAGCAGCGUGGGGCUCCCUGCUGUGUCCAGAGAAACUGGAAAUCCAGAAGGAAUGUGAACACAUCCUCACUGGGACACCUGAAAGGGAAAGUUGCAGAGAGGCACAGCCUGAUGUUCACCGUCCUUUUGGGGUUUCCAGAGGUGAUGCUGGCUGGCAGGAAGGGCACACAGAGCAGCUGGCUCCACGUUCUGUCACAUCCAGCAGGGACAUGGCACAGAUCAUGAUGCUCCUGUGUUCACCCUGCUCGUGGCUGGCACUCAAACAGCAUCCACAUUGCAAUGGGGCCUCCUGCUGCUGCUGCUGAAGGACCCCCAGAUGCAAAGUAAGGCUUUGCUUUGCUUGCACAGUGUGCUGGAGUAUCCUGCAGUGACUUUGUAAGUGAUGCUCACCUCUGAAACUUCAUAGGCUCUCAUGUGUGCUAGAGCAUCCAAAAUCUGGGUGCUGUCCACCUCCAUCCAAGCACUGAAUGCUGCCAUUCCAGACCAAAGCAUCUGAGAGGUUGUCCUCUACCCCAGGGGCUGCAGACCUCCUGUCAUGGGGUAUUCCAACCACAUUCAGCAGGAGCUGGGAUUCACAGGUGUUUUACCACUGUGCCUUUCCUUUGCCCUGCAGAAAAGGGUGACACAGAGACUGAGUUCUUGGCCCUGGCUGCUUCCCUGCCUUUGAGAUGGCAUUUCCCAACGCAGUGAUCCAUGAGGUGUGGAGAUCCAUCCCUCUCCUGCCACAGGUUCCUGGUGCACCUCAGCUGACACCCCUUUAAAGGCUGCUUCACCCCCAGGGCACUUGCUGCCCUCCAGAUGAAGGCGUGCAGCUCACCAGUGAUCCAUAGGGCAAAAAGCACCAGGAGUGAGCAAG